This 85-nucleotide transfer RNA is filed under the name Felis catus (domestic cat). It matches the Rfam family "tRNA". Rfam says of the family: Transfer RNA (tRNA) molecules are approximately 80 nucleotides in length. Their secondary structure includes four short double-helical elements and three loops (D, anti-codon, and T loops). Further hydrogen bonds mediate the characteristic L-shaped molecular structure. tRNAs have two regions of fundamental functional importance: the anti-codon, which is responsible for specific mRNA codon recognition, and the 3' end, to which the tRNAs corresponding amino acid is attached (by aminoacyl-tRNA synthetases). tRNAs cope with the degeneracy of the genetic code in two manners: having more than one tRNA (with a specific anti-codon) for a particular amino acid; and 'wobble' base-pairing, i.e. permitting non-standard base-pairing at the 3rd anti-codon position. Lineage: Eukaryota; Metazoa; Chordata; Mammalia; Carnivora; Felidae. The record is from Rfam by way of RNAcentral.
ACCUGGGUGGCUCAGUCGGUUGAGCAUCCGACUUUGACUCAGGUCAUGAUUUCACAGUUCGUGGGUUUGAGCCCCACAUCGGGCU